Molecule: ribosomal RNA, 497 nt
Filed under: uncultured bacterium
Lineage: Bacteria
Description: partial 16S ribosomal RNA
Rfam family: Bacterial small subunit ribosomal RNA
Source: RNAcentral
GAUGAACGCUGGCGGCGUGCCUAAUACAUGCAAGUCGAGCGAACGGACGAGAAGCUUGCUUCUCUGAUGUUAGCGGCGGACGGGUGAGUAACACGUGGAUAACCUACCUAUAAGACUGGGAUAACUUCGGGAAACCGUAGCUAAUACCGGAUAAUAUUUUGAACCGCAUGGUUCAAAAGUGAAAGACGGUCUUGCUGUUACUUAUAGAUGGAUCCGCGCUGCAUUAGCUAGUUGGUAAGGUAACGGCUUACCAAGGCAACGAUGCAUAGCCGACCUGAGAGGAUGAUCGGCCACACUGGAACUGAGACACGGUCCAGACUCCUACGGGAGGCAGCAGUGGGGAAUCUUCCGCAAUGGGCGAAAGCCUGACGGAGCAACACCGCGUGAGUGAUGAAGGUCUUCGGAUCGUAAAGCUCUGUUAUUAGGAAAGAACAUAAGUAUAAGUAACUGUGCACAUCUUGACGGUACCUAAUCAGAAAGCCACGGCUAACUACGUG